CGGAUCCUAAGACACCACACUUUUCUUAUCGCAUUAGGGUUUAUCUUCUUCAGUACGCUUCUGCAUCUCUAUCUCAAAUCGAUGACAAGAUUUCAUCUUCUUCCCUAAGAUUCAUCGAUUUUCAUCUCUCAGUUUAGGGUUUUGACUAUAUAUUUCUUAUAAUCCGAAGAACACACAACCUUCAUUCGCAUCUAGGGUUUCUGUUUCUUCCAUCAUACAUCUUCUUCUCAUCAUCCCUAAAUCUCAUUCCUGAAAGAUCAUCAAUACCAAGAUCUCUUUUUUUUUUUUGCAUUUUUUCGAUCUUAUCAGAUCAUAGGUACGAAUCGCUCCUCACCUCUAAAGUCGGCAUCUGUGGUUUUGCGAUAAAGGUUACAAGUCCAAAAUCUUAUUCUCAAUGCCACUACAUAAGGCAAUAGAAGAGACAUACAAUAUAGAAAACGAGCAUUUGAAUUCUGGAUACAAAGAUAGACAAGAACGUUCUAGCGAAUCGGAUCUGGUUGAGAUCCAAGUGGGACCUGCUACAGAUCUUGAUCAUGAAUAUUUCACUCAUAAGAAGUUAAUUUGUUGCAGUCAUGUUUUCAUAACUUCAUCUUUAUGGAUUCUGAUGUUUUUCUGGGCAUCUUCGUAUUUUUAGAUGUACUGUGAUGGUUAAUCUUUGGGUACAUGUUGAAUGCAAUGAAAUUUCAAGCAAUCGCUUCACGGUA
Molecule: long non-coding RNA, 704 nt
Organism: Helianthus annuus (common sunflower)
Lineage: Eukaryota; Viridiplantae; Streptophyta; Magnoliopsida; Asterales; Asteraceae
Exons: 4
Source: RefSeq, a predicted model, not a curated record